Protopterus annectens (West African lungfish) is the source of this 3438-nucleotide long non-coding RNA. RefSeq lists it as uncharacterized. Lineage: Eukaryota; Metazoa; Chordata; Ceratodontiformes; Protopteridae. The transcript is spliced from 3 exons. The record is from RefSeq and is a predicted model, not a curated record.
UCUAGUUUAAAUGAAUCCAUUGUGCUGUCAAAAUCGAUCUCACUUCCUCGUAGUGCAUACUGGCAUCAUAUAACCAGGCAGAACAGCGUUGGAGAAAUCGACAGCUUACAAGGUGAAUUCACAGACAUAUGGAAAUUUGAAAAAGUGAUUCCCAUUUCAAAAUCAGGUACCUACUUCAGUUCAACAAAAGUUUCCCGUGCACAGACUUUCCAUGGAUAUGCCUGUGAUCAAACUGAAGAACAUAAUCAGUCAUUCUCUUCUAGCAGUUAUGGGCACAGCUACAGAUCAGCUCUCGUCCAGAGAUACCAGGAGUUGGUUGACCAACGUGCUCGUAUCAGGGAGUGAACAAAAGGAAAAAAACAUGUGAACUGUAUACAAUGUGAUCAGAAGAAAGUGUCAGCUGAGACAGUGUCAAAUUAAGAGGGAUUUUUAUCACUGCAAACAAAAGGAAAUCACACUUACCAGUCCAACAAAAGAUAAAAUAGAAUUUUUCAGCUAAGUGUAAAAAACUUUACACUUGGUUUGAUCCUUGUUAAAAUAUAUAGAUUUUGGUAAGUAACACAAUUUAACCAGAAAGCUGUGAUGAAAAAAAACUGUUUCUUGCAUUAAUUCAGCCUCUUACUUGGUUGACCAUCACUGUCACACAGCCUGGAAGAUACAAGCAUAUGCAAAGUAAUGUUCCAGUAACUGCCACUGCUACUUAUAGAAAAUGCAAUUGUUGCUGUCAGACCUCCUGCUAGUUAUGGUGUACAUGGUUAUUUAUGAUCUAUUGGCUACAUGCCAUGGCAUACCAUUUCUGUACCUUUAGUGUAUAAUACAGUCAAACAAAACAAAUCAAAUCUUUUCACCAAAUGAUGAGUUUAGGAAGGCAGAGUGUGAUAUGCAACUACGUAACCUCAAUUGAUCCAUCGUGUUUCUUAAAUAUAAACAUAACCUGUCAUUAUUCCCCAUCCAUCUUUGAGUCUUCUUUUGCAGUAAAAACAAAAUUAGGAUGUAGAAUAUUUAAUUUAGAAGGAACGUUUCAUAUAAAUGUAAAGUGAAACUCAAGAAAAAGUAAUGAAAACGGAAUAUGCAAGCACUUUCCAAAGUGUAAGGGUACCUGAGAUGAGUGUUGAACUGAGACUGCUUUGCACAAGGUGAACUAACCUUACAUUGUCUUCAGACUCUGCAGUUUACAUGAUUCCUAGUUUAUGCAGCUUUCAUGAAAGCACUGAUAUCCUUGUUUUAUUCGUGUUACUUACUUGUUUGAUCCUUUUAAUCACCCUGGGCUAUCAUCUCAGGAAUUCUUGCACAAACAGUGUUCAACUCAAUGCAAAUGACUCAUUUUGUAAAUGUUGUUAAGCAUUUUAUGUAGUCAGAACCCAGGUUAUAUAUUUAGUGGUAAAGUAGCAAUUCAGCUGCUUAAAUAUAUGAACUCAGAGAAAAGUUGACGUGGAUCGAGAGCAUGACUUAAGAAUUCUGCAUGUCUGAAUUUUCAGCUCAAAGCUAUUUGUAUGUACAUUUAAAUAUCCAUGGUUCUCCAUGAAAGAAAGCCAUCUGAAAACAAUAAAGGCAACUGACUGCAUGAAUAUUUGAUUUACUAGUCAGGGAUGAUCUACUGCAAAACAGUGAUUAAAGACAUUAAAACUUGUAGAUUGUGCCAACAGGAAACAGAAUUAAAUUAAGUUUGGCCAGCCAAAUUAGCUGUAACAGCACCAUUGUUUUGGAUAAGGGAUCUCAUUAUAUGGACCUCAUGUUCAACUGGCUGCCUGCUGCAUAAGUUAUGACUUUAAAUAUCUACUCAUCUUCAUCUUUUGGAUGAAUACUAACAAUAUGAAACAUUUGUUUCAUUCCUCCUGCAGACUAUACUUUUAACAAUGAAGAGCACUAUUCAUGUACAAUGUAUAAUGUGGAGCAUGGCUUGUAGACCUUAGAAUGGCAAAAAAAAUAUUUGUGGCACAUAAAAAACAAUGCGUAAUGGGGUGAGACCUUGUGUGUUGUGUUAUUCUGUCCUAUUGCUUAAUGACAGUACCCUGACAACCAAUUUCCCAUGUUAAUGUAUCUACUCCCUAAUAGUGUGCAAGUCAAAAAUGGUAUACCACUGUUGUAUUCACUGUUCCAAUUUGUAGCCAUAUCAGUCCCCAUCCUCUGCUUUGAUGUUGGCAGCAGAGAGUACCAUGCAACAUGCUUGCGCCAUCAAGGCUAAAAGCCCCCUUAAACCUCUGUUGCAUGGCAGAAAAUCUGUACCAAUGAUGGAAUCAUGUGUUAUGCUAAAAAAUAUCUGCUGCACACAGCCUUCAACUUCCUCCACACUGUAAUGCUGGUGAGUUCCAGCCAAUAGGAGUUCAGAGAGUACCAGAUCCCAUCAUUACCUUAGUAUGAUACAGAACCCCAGUAUGGUGACUCAUGGAUAUCUUUAUGAAUCACAAUCAUGAGUAAAAGUGGACCACAGCAUUGUAGUAUAAGGGAACAUGUUAAAGUACAAUAGGCCUUAAUAAGUAGCUAUACAUAUGCACAUUGGCAUGCUAGGUACCUCUAUGUAGUUUUCGUAAAACUGAUAUCUGUGCUGCCAUAGAGUACUGUGAUUCAUGUCUAUGAUUCAUUGUAGUCAUGAUGGUAAACUAAAUAUGGUACAAAAUAUGCUUUUCUACAUCAGUGCACUGUAUUUAUGAGUACCAGGGACCUGUCACAGAAAAGACAUAAAUAAUUUAAUGCAAUUAAAGAACAUUUGCAUAGCAUACAUACUUUUUGUAUAUAAUUCUGGAUCUUAAUCAUCUGAAGAAAGAAAACACAAUCAGUAAUCAGCUGUCAAACAAUAGAUAUGUGAAAGGCUGGAAUUUACACAAGGGAGAACCACUACCAGGUAUCACACACAUUUCUUGUAUCAUAAUGUAGGCAUCCAAGUCUUCUCUUCAGAUUAAGUGGAAUGUUACCAAAUACUCUGGUAUAACUUAAAAUGCUUUAUUGUAAUUUAAAUAAAAGUAAACAAGAAAGGAUACAAAGGAGGGCUACUAGAGGAUGAAGGACAGAUAAGGAGGCCAGUAAAGAAUAAAUCAUGUUCAGAAAACAAUGAAAAAAUCUUUACAGUAGCAUAAGAAAUGUUUAGAGGCACCAUACCAAAAUACUUUACAAAAGUAAUAAAAACUCUGACCAGAUGGUUUAAAGGUAGUCCAUAAAAUGGUUGUCUUCUUUGAAGUCAAACCAUGAUUAUUUUAGGUCAUAGUUCAGAAGGCAUUUAACACGGUCACUUCAAAACUUAAUGGAAAAAAAGUACAAUUUGAUUUCAGUACUUCAAGACACACUUUCUAGCAAUGAUUAGAAUUUUAUAGUACAUAAAACAUGUGAAGCAGGCACACAUGGUAGAAGGCCCAUAUACAGCUUAAUAUAAUUUCACAUUUUAAAUUGCCUUCUCUUUUUCUCCUGUACCUACCUCCAACAUAAAAAAACUCUUAACUAAAC